AGCCUUUGCUCUGAAUUUUCUUAAUUUCUUGCUUGCUUGGAUUUUAUUCUGGUGUUCAAGCUGUCUCAUUUGAGGGCUCAUCUGGGAUGGAAGCAAGACCCCCGACUCAAUUCUGAACACCUAAAAACCUUUAUAAUUGGAAAACCGAGGACCCUCCUUUUUCAAAGGAUCCUGAAACUCUGAUUGACCUUUUAGAAUCUGUAUUCUCUGCUCAUCGCCCCACCUGGGAUGACUGCCAACAGAUCCUGCACAUGCUCUUCAGAGCUGAAGAGAGACUGCGCAUCUAAACCUGACUGGGACCCCAACACGGAUGGAGAUAAGAGGGCUCACGAUGAUUAUCACCUGAGGCUUCUAGAUGUGCUCCACGAAGCUGCCAAGAAGCCCACCAACUUGUCCUGAGUGGCUGAUGAAUCUCCUGCUAUGUUCUUAGAGCACCUCCUAGAAACAUAUAGAUUGCAUACCCCAAUUAAUCCUAUGGCACCUGAGAAUGCACAAACAAUUAAUAUUGCUUUCAUGUCCCAGUCAGCUCCCAAUGUUAGAAGAAAAUUACAAAAGCUAGGGGGCUGGGGAUUUAGCUCAGCGGCAUAAGCACCUGCCUUGCAAGCAGGCAGUCGUGAGUUCAAUCCCUGGUACCGGAUAAAAGGAAAGAGACAAAAAAAAAAAAAAAAGAAAAUUACAAAAGCUUAAGGAAUUUGAGGGAAUGCCCCUCAGCCAGUUGAUAGAGAUAGCACAAAAGUUUUUUGAAAAUAGAGAAAAUUUACAAGAAGCCACCAACAAGAAAAUGACCAAAGUGUUAGAAUUACUCCGUGAAAGAGAAACUAAAAAGCCGGCCAAUACCAAUAAAAAGGAAGCCCAGGGACAACGACCUCCUUUAGAUAAGGAACAGUGUGCACAUUGCAAAGAGAUAGGACAUUGGUGAAAGGAUUGCCCAAAGUUAAAGGCUAACCUUGAGAGAGAAGCAAAGGCUUUGUUGUCUCAGCAAUGAGGAGGUCAGGGCUCAUUGCUGCCCCCCCAGCCCCGGAUAACUCUUCAAGUGGGGGGACACCCGGUGGACUUCCUGGUGGACACAGGAGCCACCUAUUCUGUACUAACCCAACUCUUGGGAAAAUUGACCAAAGACUCAGUUAAUGUACUAGGAGCCACAGGGGGAUGAAGAUCACAGCCAAAGGUAACCACCAGUUUAGCUCGACCAGGCCACAAGUUGGUCCACCAUGAUUUUCUAUGGGUACCAUAGUGUCCAGACCCCCUCCUAGGAUGAGACCUCCUUCAUAAAUUGCAAGUGCAAGUUGAUUUCUUGACAAAUGAGCUGAGACUAAGAUUGGGAACGGGCUCAACCCAAGGUCCUGAAAAGAGCAUUAGAGUUUUAGCCCUUGUCCCAGAAGGAGAAAAUUACUGCCUGCUGGAAAAUUUGUCCGAUUCACCUAAGCUGCCACCUAUGGACUUAGAACUAAAAUUAUUAAAGAAAUGGAGACAAGAAAUCCCAGAGGUCUCAUCCCAAGACUGGUGGUCAACCAAGUGCCCCUUGUAGUAGAGCUCCUACCCCAGGCGUGUCCUGUUUGUUUGUGUCAAUAUCCAAUAAGUCUCCAAGCCCGAAAGGGAAUUAAAGUUCACAUACAGAGACUAAG
Cavia porcellus (domestic guinea pig) is the source of this 1625-nucleotide long non-coding RNA. RefSeq lists it as uncharacterized. NCBI's taxonomy places the organism in Eukaryota, Metazoa, Chordata, Mammalia, Rodentia, Caviidae. The transcript is spliced from 2 exons. The record is from RefSeq and is a predicted model, not a curated record.